GUGAGUCAUCCAUUCUUCAUGGCACAGCUGUCGCCUUCCUGAAACUCACAUUAGACACGCGCUCAUAGAAUCAAAUGUACCACAUGCAGCCAUUACAGACGGGCACACCAACCCCAGACUGCUGUUGCCAGGGUACAGUCUGCUGCUGAGAGGCUGUCAGAGUGGUGAGUAGCCACUCAUACCACCUGUCAUCAGAGAAUGAGGAGCGAGCAGGGGAGGGGCAGGCCGUGUGGCCUCCGGAGAUGGCAGCAGACGGAGAUCCGGGCAGAGAAAACAAAAGAGAGCAAGAGAGAAGACAGUGGGUGAAGUCCUGGUUCCAGACUCCCCUUUUUGCCGGGAUAUGAUGGAUCUGUCAGCUGGUGCCUAGAGUCCUAGAGAGCUAGAGAUGGAGGGAAAUUCAGAUCAUCUAAACCCUUCAGCCCUUCACUGGACAGAAGAGGAAACUGAGGCUCCAUCUGCAUGACGUUCCCAGAGUCACGGCACAAAUUCAUGGAAGAAGCAGCAGGAAACUCAGUUCUCCAGUCUGGGUCCAAUGUGUGUUUUAGAAAUAUCUCCACAGGGUUAAUGACUCAAUUUUUCAUGCAUGAUUGCUAGUAAUGACAAUCAUGUUAUGUUUGUUUCUGUAGCUUUGGAAAUCACUCCUUCCACUUGAGUUUCAGGUCCCAACUGUCCACACCUGCAGGAGUGAGGUUUUGCUGAGACUGAUAAGGCACUCACAUUUUGUGGGAGUUGAAUUGUCUCUGUAGCCUAGAAUCUAGAUUUUUUUCCCUCCUCUGCUCUCAGUGAACGGAGAAUUCCAUCUCGGUACAAUCUGUGAACCAUUCUGCAGUAAGAUUGUCAUCGUCUCAUUCAUACUACCUGGUCGGUAACACAAAGGGCUGUAAUUGAUGUGGUUCAGAGACUCACAUCCAAGCAAUAAAAAUGAAUCCCUUAUGGUGGUCUGCAGCAACGCAAAUGGAUCCAGUGUCUGGCUUUAAUGGGAGUGGGGAAAUUGCUAACAGAUGACGGUAACUUUC
This 1016-nucleotide long non-coding RNA is filed under the name Homo sapiens (human). RNAcentral describes it as "HSALNT0158228". Lineage: Eukaryota; Metazoa; Chordata; Mammalia; Primates; Hominidae. The record is from RNAcentral.